UACGAAGGGGGCGAGCGUUGUUCGGAAUUACUGGGCGUAAAGGGCGCGCAGGCGGCCUUAGAAGUCAGAUGUGAAAGCCCCGGGCUCAACCUGGGAAUGGCAUUUGAUACUCUGAGGCUGGAGUACGGGAGAGGAGAGUGGAAUUCCCAGUGUAGAGGUGAAAUUCGUAGAUAUUGGGAAGAACAUCGGUGGCGAAGGCGGCUCUCUGGACCGUAACUGACGCUGAGGCGCGAAAGCGUGGGGAGCAAACAGG
This 253-nucleotide ribosomal RNA is filed under the name uncultured bacterium. RNAcentral's name for it is "partial 16S ribosomal RNA". It matches the Rfam family "Bacterial small subunit ribosomal RNA", at positions 524 to 776 of the family's 1533-position model. The record is from RNAcentral.